CAGACCUGUGCUCUUCCUCUGGAAAAACAACCUUAGCUUGACAACAGCUAGGCCUCCAGUAUCCUGGGAGUCUUCUUUAGCAUAUGGAAAUCCCUCUGGAAACUUCCCUUGGACCUUACCUCCCCCAAGUCCAUAGUAUAUAACCAGUCUCUCCCCAUAGUCCCGGGGCAGGUCUUUCUGCCCGAGGGUCCUGUCCCCAUGCUUUAAUAAAA
Long non-coding RNA from Herpailurus yagouaroundi (jaguarundi), 212 nucleotides. RefSeq lists it as uncharacterized. The transcript is spliced from 3 exons. Lineage: Eukaryota; Metazoa; Chordata; Mammalia; Carnivora; Felidae. The record is from RefSeq and is a predicted model, not a curated record.